AUGAUCGAUACCUUGUUUACGCCAGUUGGAGAUGACGAUCAUGUCCUCAUUAAGGAUUCAGUAGUUGACUUCCUCAAAAACAACAAUGGUCAGAAGCCGGAACAAAUUAUCAUUUUCAGGGAUGGUGUUAGCGAGAGCCAAUUCAAUCAGGUGCUGAACGAUGAGCUAGCUCAAAUCAUGGAGACAUGCAAGUUUUUUGGUGGCAAGCACUUUAGUGGCAACUGGUUCCCCAAGUUCACAGUGAUGGUUGCACAGAAGAAUCAUCACACGAGAUUUUUCCUACGGAAUGGACAGAGACCUGAUCAAGUGACUAAUGCCCCCCCUGGGGACUACAAGGCCAACACACUACCAUGUGCUCCAAGAUGA
This 366-nucleotide ribosomal RNA is filed under the name Triticum aestivum (bread wheat). RNAcentral describes it as "partial small subunit ribosomal RNA". Lineage: Eukaryota; Viridiplantae; Streptophyta; Magnoliopsida; Poales; Poaceae. The record is from RNAcentral.